CGGACGGGUGAGUAACACGUGGAUAACCUACCUAUAAGACUGGGAUAACUUCGGGAAACCGGAGCUAAUACCGGAUAAUAUUUUGAACCGCACGGUUCAAAAGUGAAAGACGGUCUUGCUGUCACUUAUAGAUGGAUCCGCGCUGCAUUAGCUAGUUGGUAAGGUAACGGCUUACCAAGGCAACGAUGCAUAGCCGACCUGAGAGGGUGAUCGGCCACACUGGAACUGAGACACGGUCCAG
Molecule: ribosomal RNA, 241 nt
Filed under: uncultured Staphylococcus sp.
Lineage: Bacteria; Bacillati; Bacillota; Bacilli; Caryophanales; Staphylococcaceae
Description: partial 16S ribosomal RNA
Rfam family: Bacterial small subunit ribosomal RNA
Source: RNAcentral